GAACCGCGUGAAGGAUCAUUAAUGAGAGGGGUCAAACCCGCGGGGGCUCCGGCCCCCAACUCUACACCCUUGUACACCUACCUUUGUUGCUUUGGCGGGCCUGGGGGCUCCCCCCCUUGCCGUCCGGCGGCCCCGUCGCCGGCUCGGUUCGCGCCCGUCAGAGGCCCCUCAAACCCUGUUUAUCAGUGACGUCCGAGCAAAAAACACAAUAGUAAAAACUUUCAACAACGGAUCUCUUGGUUCUGGCAUCGAUGAAGAACGCAGCGAAAUGCGAUAAGUAAUGUGAAUUGCAGAAUUCAGUGAAUCAUCGAAUCUUUGAACGCACAUUGCGCCCCUCGGUAUUCCGGGGGGCAUGCCUGUUCGAGCGUCAUUGCACCCCUCAAGCUCUGCUUGGUAUUGGGCCACGCCCCCUGGGCGGGCCCGAAAGUCAGUGGCGGCCCGGCGUGACUUCGAGCGUAGUAAACUAUCUCCCGCUUUGGAAGCUCGCGGCGGGACCGGCCAGCAAGCCUCUUUUAUUUUCAAUGAUUGACCUCGGAUCAGGUAGGGAUACCCGCUGAACUUAA
RNAcentral lists this ribosomal RNA (563 nucleotides) under Lecanora cf. dispersa Leavitt 12_002. RNAcentral's name for it is "eukaryotic LSU rRNA". The stretch from base 217 to 370 matches the Rfam family "5.8S ribosomal RNA". The record is from RNAcentral. Lineage: Eukaryota; Fungi; Ascomycota; Lecanoromycetes; Lecanorales; Lecanoraceae.